AAGAGCAGAGCAGGAGGAGGGUAAAGAGAGAAGGAGGUGUGGUUCAAGGUGCUGGUUUAUUAGCUGUAGUUAUCCCCAAAGCACUAUUUUGUACACAAUCCUUUCUAAUAUUCACAUGAUUCCUCCUUUAGAGGUUUUUCCUGAACAUAGAUAUCCGGAGAAUACAGCAAUUUCUGGAAAUAAUCAUUACAAAUUCCACAGACAGAAAAGCUUUAAAAAAAAAAAACCCUCCAACUUUAGAUGGCGCUGUUGAGUGCUCUGUGGUUCUCGGUUCUGCUGCUGCAACACUUCGAGCUCCGUCUGAGUGCUGGAGCUGAGACUCUCAGCUGUCCUGCACCGGCUGGAGUCCCGGGUUCUCCUGGACACAAUGGCCUUCCUGGACGAGACGGAAGAGACGGACAUCCUGGACCUAAAGGAGACAAGGGAGAGCUGGGUCUGAGUGUGCAGGGACCUCGAGGUGAAACAGGACCAAUAGGUCCAGCAGGACCUAAGGGACAGAAAGGAGAUCCAGGCAAUUUGCUGAACCCAUCAUCUCUACCGACAGAACUCGAACAGAUUAAAUACCUGGUUAAUCUGAUACUGCAAGAGCAACCCAAAGUGGCAUUCUGGGCCACACUCUCCUCCCCUGCAGAUCCUUACAGAAACAUCGGACCAUUUGAGGAUCGUCAGACUCUGGUGUACAAAAGUGCUUUGACCAACAUCGGUAAUGCCUACGACACAAAGACAGGUAUCUUUACAGCACCAGUUAGAGGAGUGUACUACUUCAAUGUUGUGCUCUUCAACGCAAACCCUCCCUCAGCUGGUGUGGAAAUAAUGAAGAACGGAGUGCUUUUGGCUGCAGUGACUGAUAAUCCACCAGGACAGGACUCUGAGGACACGGCAAGUAACUCGGUCACUCUGCUGCUCGAGAAAGGAGACCGGAUUUACAACGAGCUCCUGGUGAACCGGAAAGUUUACACGGAUUCUGCGAGACGUAAUUCGUUCAGUGGCCAUCUUCUGUACGCAAUGACCAACACUGAAUAAACAUGGAUACUACACACUGAUCUGGAGAUGUUACUAAUGUUGUCUUGAUAUCGAUAAAGUGGCGCAAUACUGCUGCUGAUUGUAUCCAUAAGUAUCAAAUUAUGAUUAAAUGAUUAAAGUUUAUAAUAAUUGAAAAGUCAAAAUAAUGGCAAAUUUAAAAAAGCAUGCAUGAAAACCGAGUGUCUGUUUUCAAUCAUUAAGAAAUGUUUGUACAACAUACAGCAUGAAAAUACAUCAUGCUAACUGGGUUUUGAUUAGCAGUGACAGUGUUAAACAAUGUUUAUUUAUUAGGGGGCCAAGCACAGAAGGUGCAUAGGCACCAUAUUGUUAUUCAACAUUUAUUGUUAUUCUUUUCUUCUUCAUCUGUUUCUGCUUCUUCUGGCUAUAGGUUGUCUAGGGCAGUCCAUAGAACCGUCUGGUAAAAUGUUGUGAAAUCUUUCACACUGAUUGGGGACGGGCUAAGGAACAUUUUGACCAAAUUUGGCCCAAAUGCUUCCAACGCUCUAGCGCCACCACUGGGUUAAAUUUGGAGCUAACUUGAAGUAUGUUUAUGGCCAUAACUUUUGAACCGUGUGUCCAAAAUGUAAAAGCCUCUCUGGAUUCCUUGGGUCGAGACAAGUUCAACACAGCCCAUCACAUCAAUCUCCUCCUAUGAAUUUUGUCCAAUUGUCAUGAAAUUUGGCAAACUUCAUCUUCUAUGUAAGUCUCACAAAAGUCGGCAAAAGAAUUUUCAAUAUUCCAAAUGUCCAUAAUGGACCAGUGACCAAGAAGUUUUCGUUUUUUCAAAUUGUGUAUUUUAACAAAAUCAGACACGAAAUAAGCAGUUCUAUUUCACUUCAAUAAGCCAUGUUGUAUAAGAAGGCAGGUCUGUGGAGUGAUUUAUGGGAAUGUGGGUGUCAUUGAGUCCAUGGCUCUUGACUAUAAGCUGCCUGAGGCUCCAAAGAAUGCGUGCUUUGGAUAGACAAACCUCAGGAGGUUGUGAGAAUAAAGAACUUGAAAUUAAGUGUGACUCUGUGUUCUUUCUGUUGGCCCAUUCAUCACAGAAAGACAAAACCAUACAAGGAAUUGAGAAAGAGAAGAGGUUGUAUCUGACAUUCUUCAAGGUGCAGUAAUGCCAAAGUACCCUUUUGGGCAGCAUCAUUUCUCAGUAAAACUCCCUCAGUUAGGGUAGUCUUCAGACACCGGUUUCUGAACCUGCACAUCUGGAAAAUACAGCAAUCGGUGGAAAUAGUUACAGUGUUGACAAAUUCCAAGGACAAAAAGCAGAAAGACAAAACCAUACAAGGAAUUGAGAAAGAGAAGAGGUUGUAUCUGACAUUCUUCAAGGUGCAGUAAUCCCAAAGUACCAUUUUGGGCAGCAUCAUUUCUCAGUAAAACUCCCUCAGUUAGGGUAGUCUUCAGACACCGGUUUCUGAACCUGCACAUCUGGAAAAUACAGCAAUCGGUGGAAAUAGUUACAGUGUUGACAAAUUCCAAGGACAAAAACCAG
RNA transcript from Ictalurus furcatus (blue catfish), 2512 nucleotides. It is a transcript of the gene named adiponectin-like, with no coding region annotated. The transcript is spliced from 7 exons. The record is from RefSeq and is a predicted model, not a curated record. NCBI's taxonomy places the organism in Eukaryota, Metazoa, Chordata, Actinopteri, Siluriformes, Ictaluridae.